GCCGGACCUGACUGCUAUCGGAUUGAUACUAAGCCAUGCGAGUCGUUGUAGCAAUACAAGGCAUACGGCUCAGUAACGCGUAGUCAACCUAACCUAUGGACGGGAAUAACCUCGGGAAACUGAGAAUAAUGCCCGAUAGAACAUUAUGCCUGGAAUGGUUUAUGUUCCAAAUGAUUUAUCGCCAUAGGAUGGGACUGCGGCCUAUCAGUUUGUUGGUGAGGUAAUGGCCCACCAAGACUAUUACAGGUACGGGCUCUGAGAGGAGUAGCCCGGAGAUGGGUACUGAGACACGGACCCAGGCCCUAUGGGGCGCAGCAGGCGAGAAAACUUUGCAAUGUGCGAAAGCACGACAAGGUUAAUCCGAGUGAUUUCUGCUAAAGAGAUCUUUUGUUAGUCCUAGAAACACUAACGAAUAAGGGGUGGGCAAGUUCUGGUGUCAGCCGCCGCGGUAAAACCAGCACCUCAAGUGGUCAGGAUGAUUAUUGGGCCUAAAGCAUCCGUAGCCGGCUCUGUAAGUUUUCGGUUAAAUCUGUACGCUCAACGUACAGGCUGCCGGAAAUACUGCAGAACUAGGGAGUGGGAGAGGUAGACGGUACUCGGUAGGAAGUGGUAAAAUGCUUUGAUCUAUCGAUGACCACCUGUGGCGAAGGCGGUCUACCAGAACACGUCCGACGGUGAGGGAUGAAAGCUGGGGGAGCAAACCGGAUUAGAUACCCGGGUAGUCCCAGCUGUAAACUAUGCAAACUCAGUGAUGCAUUGGCUUGUGGCCAAUGCAGUGCUGCAGGGAAGCCGUUAAGUUUGCCGCCUGGGAAGUACGUACGCAAGUAUGAAACUUAAAGGAAUUGGCGGGGGAGCACCACAAGGGGUGAAGCCUGCGGUUCAAUUGGAUUCAACGCCGGG
RNAcentral lists this ribosomal RNA (900 nucleotides) under uncultured archaeon. RNAcentral describes it as "bacterial SSU rRNA". It matches the Rfam family "Archaeal small subunit ribosomal RNA", at positions 16 to 922 of the family's 1478-position model. The record is from RNAcentral.